GAUCCAGCAUGGCUAGUGGUUUGAGUGUUGGACUAUGACUCUGGAGACCAGGGUUCGAUUCCCUACUUGGUCA
Phrynosoma platyrhinos (Desert horned lizard) is the source of this 73-nucleotide non-coding RNA. NCBI's taxonomy places the organism in Eukaryota, Metazoa, Chordata, Lepidosauria, Squamata, Phrynosomatidae. The record is from the annotation of a GenBank genome assembly.